GGGGUUGUAUCUCAGUGGUAGAGCGCUCGCCUAGCAUGUGUGAGGCACUGGGUUCGAUCUUCAGCACCACA
Molecule: transfer RNA, 71 nt
Filed under: Marmota monax (woodchuck)
Lineage: Eukaryota; Metazoa; Chordata; Mammalia; Rodentia; Sciuridae
Description: tRNA.Ala
Source: RNAcentral